AUGAACGCUGGCGGCGUGCCUAAUACAUGCAAGUCGAGCGAACGGACGAGAAGCUUGCUUCUCUGAUGUUAGCGGCGGACGGGUGAGUAACACGUGGAUAACCUACCUAUAAGACUGGGAUAACUUCGGGAAACCGGAGCUAAUACCGGAUGAUAUUUUGAACCGCAUGGUUCAAAAGUGAAAGACGGUCUUGCUGUCACUUAUAGAUGGAUCCGCGCUGCAUUAGCUAGUUGGUAAGGUAACGGCUUACCAAGGCAACGAUGCAUAGCCGACCUGAGAGGGUGAUCGGCCACACUGGAACUGAGACACGGUCCAGACUCCUACGGGAGGCAGCAGUAGGAAAUCUUCCGCAAUGGGCGAAAGCCUGACGGAGCAAUGCCGCGUGAGUGAUGAAGGUCUUCGGAUCGUAAAACUCUGUUAUUAGGGAAGAACAUAUGUGUAAGUAACUGUGCACAUCUUGACGGUACCUAAUCAGAAAGCCACGGCUAACUACGUG
This 496-nucleotide ribosomal RNA is filed under the name uncultured bacterium. RNAcentral describes it as "partial 16S ribosomal RNA". It matches the Rfam family "Bacterial small subunit ribosomal RNA", at positions 29 to 507 of the family's 1533-position model. The record is from RNAcentral.